Molecule: ribosomal RNA, 402 nt
Filed under: uncultured bacterium
Lineage: Bacteria
Description: bacterial SSU rRNA
Rfam family: Bacterial small subunit ribosomal RNA
Source: RNAcentral
GGGGAAUAUUGCGCAAUGGGGGAAACCCUGACGCAGCAACGCCGCGUGAAGGAUGAAGGUCUUCGGAUUGUAAACUUCUUUGAUUGGGGAAGAAGAAAUGACUGUACCCAAAAAACAAGCCACGGCUAACUACGUGCCAGCAGCCGCGGUAAUACGUAGGUGGCAAGCGUUGUCCGGAAUUACUGGGUGUAAAGGGCGUGUAGGCGGGGAUGCAAGUCAGAUGUGAAAUUCCGGGGCUCAACCUCGGAGCUGCAUCUGAAACUGCAACUCUUGAGUACUGGAGAGGAAAGUGGAAUUCCUAGUGUAGCGGUGAAAUGCGUAGAGAUUAGGAGGAACACCAGUGGCGAAGGCGGCUUUCUGGACAGUAACUGACGCUGAGGCGCGAAAGCGUGGGGAGCGAAC